Molecule: non-coding RNA, 125 nt
Filed under: pig gut metagenome
Description: FMN riboswitch (RFN element)
Rfam family: FMN riboswitch aptamer (RFN element)
About the family: The RFN element is a highly conserved domain that is found frequently in the 5'-untranslated regions of prokaryotic mRNAs that encode for flavin mononucleotide (FMN) biosynthesis and transport proteins. This element is a metabolite-dependent riboswitch that directly binds FMN in the absence of proteins. In Bacillus subtilis, the riboswitch most likely controls gene expression by causing premature transcription termination within the 5' untranslated region of the ribDEAHT operon and precluding access to the ribosome-binding site of ypaA mRNA.
Source: RNAcentral
UUCUUCGGGGGUGGGUGUGAUUCCCUACCGGCGGUAAAGUCCGCGACCUGCUUUUAGGAUAAAGAUAGAAGUGGCUGAUAUGGUGCAAUUCCAUAACCGACAGUAAAGUCUGGAUGAGAGAAGAU